UUUAACUGAAGAGUUUGAUCAUGGCUCAGAUUGAACGCUGGCGGCAGGCUUAACACAUGCAAGUCGAGCGGGGAAAGGUAGCUUGCUACAUUUCCUAGCGGCGGACGGGUGAGUAAUGCUUAGGAAUCUGCCUAUUAGUGGGGGACAAC
The sequence is a ribosomal RNA, 149 nucleotides long. It matches the Rfam family "Bacterial small subunit ribosomal RNA", at positions 1 to 147 of the family's 1533-position model.